CAGCAGGAUUUAGACUACAAUAUAGCGGUUAAGUGCUAUUUUGCCAUUCCCCCUGCUCAAAGUAAAGUUGUUUGUUAUCUAUCCCUGUCUGCUAGUUCCUUGUAGCAGCCUAGGGAUGCUUGGUCUCAUACAU
This is a small nucleolar RNA of Echinops telfairi (small Madagascar hedgehog), 133 nucleotides long. Its record names the gene SNORA63. It matches the Rfam family "Small nucleolar RNA SNORA63". From Rfam's summary of the family: E3 belongs to the H/ACA class of snoRNAs and is involved in the processing of eukaryotic pre-rRNA and has regions of complementarity to 18S rRNA. NCBI's taxonomy places the organism in Eukaryota, Metazoa, Chordata, Mammalia, Afrosoricida, Tenrecidae. The record is from Ensembl.